This 430-nucleotide ribosomal RNA is filed under the name uncultured bacterium. RNAcentral describes it as "partial 16S ribosomal RNA". It matches the Rfam family "Bacterial small subunit ribosomal RNA", at positions 29 to 504 of the family's 1533-position model. The record is from RNAcentral.
AACGAACGCUGGCGGCAGGCCUAACACAUGCAAGUCGAGCGAGGACUUCGGUUCUAGCGGCGGACGGGUGAGUAACGCGUGGGAAUGUGCCCUUCUCUACGGAAUAGCCCUGGGAAACUGGGAGUAAUACCGUAUACGCCCUUUUGGGGAAAGAUUUAUCGGAGAAGGAUCAGCCCGCGUUGGAUUAGGUAGUUGGUGGGGUAAUGGCCUACCAAGCCGACGAUCCAUAGCUGGUUUGAGAGGAUGAUCAGCCACACUGGGACUGAGACACGGCCCAGACUCCUACGGGAGGCAGCAGUGGGGAAUCUUAGACAAUGGGGGCAACCCUGAUCUAGCCAUGCCGCGUGAGUGAUGAAGGCCUUAGGGUUGUAAAGCUCUUUCAGCUGGGAAGAUAAUGACGGUACCAGCAGAAGAAGCCCCGGCUAACUCC